Molecule: long non-coding RNA, 989 nt
Filed under: Heterocephalus glaber (naked mole-rat)
Lineage: Eukaryota; Metazoa; Chordata; Mammalia; Rodentia; Bathyergidae
Description: lncRNA (ENSHGLG00000049194.1)
Source: RNAcentral
CAGUGUGAGAAAUCUGAUCAUCACCUCAUGUUGGGAAACAAACAACUACUCCGGAAGCCUCCCCUAAUUUCCCGAGAAUCUUGAUUUGCCUAAGGAUACUCUGAGGCGUAACUGAGGGUUCUGAGAUGAAGAGGCCACUCUGAAGUCCAGUGACACGUGUCCUGAAAAAGGACACACAGAAGAAAGGGAGGCACAAAGCCAGAAUUGAACACCACACUCCAGAGUGCUGACGGCGAGCUGAAGCGUCAGGGAAGGAUCUUCGGCAGAACCUCCAGGGGGCGCUGUCCUGCAAACACGGAAGCCUGCUGGCCCCCAGCGCUGUGAGAGAACACACUUGUGCUGUUGUCUGCGGAGGUAGGAACUGGACUAAAGUUCCCAGGCAUCUCCAGUCUGGUGCAGAUUUGGACCUGGUUUGUAUCCAGCUGGUGGCAAAAGCCACCAGAUGCUGCUGGGCUGUUGUAUUGGAGGCUUUCAGCUGUACAUAAUGGAAAUAGCGUGGAGGUAAAGCAGUUCCAGGGUUGGUUAAUUUGCUAUCAAACAUCUUUAAGGGCUCACACUUGUUCCAUCUUCCUGUUCAGCCAACUUAACAGGUUGGCCACUGGCUAUUCCUUAACCGAUUGUGUAAUGGCUGUUGGAAGUCCAAGCUUUCCCAUCUCCCAGGACAGAACAUUCCUUCCUCACAUCUCUUGGCCUCCAGUGGACCUCUUGUGAUUGGCCAGGAUUGUAGCACACACCUGUUCUUAAGUCCAUCACCAUUCCUAAGAAAUCACCAUGUUUGGCUUAGGCAAACUAAGACUUGCCUUACAAGGUUCUUCUUGGAGGCCAUGGUUUCCUCAUGUCUGCCAGCAGUGGGUGCAAGGUGUAGGAACAGAGGGUUAGGGUUGACUAAGCUACCAACAGUUCCCACCUGGACCUAUGUGGACACAACCUUGAAAGGUCUGGCUGAGCCCAGUUUCAAUCUACAAUAAGACGGUCAAAGGAAUAUCCAG